AUUGAACGCUGGCGGCAGGCCUAACACGUGCGAGUCGAGCGGAUGAAGGGAGCUUGCUCCUGUAUUCAGCGGCGGACGGGUGAGUAAUGCCUAGGAAUCUGCCUGGUAGUGGGGGAUAACGUCCGGAAACGGGCGCUAAUACCGCAUACGUCCUGAGGGAGAAAGUGGGGGAUCUUCGGACCUCACGCUAUCAGAUGAGCCUAGGUCGGAUUAGCUAGUUGGUGGGGUAAAGGCCUACCAAGGCGACGAUCCGUAACUGGUCUGAGAGGAUGAUCAGUCACACUGGAACUGAGACACGGUCCAGACUCCUACGGGAGGCAGCAGUGGGGAAUAUUGGACAAUGGGCGAAAGCCUGAUCCAGCCAUGCCGCGUGUGUGAAGAAGGUCUUCGGAUUGUAAAGCACUUUAAGUUGGGAGGAAGGGCAGUAAGUUAAUACCUUGCUGUUUUGACGUUACCAACAGAAUAAGCACCGGCUAACUUCGUG
This 484-nucleotide ribosomal RNA is filed under the name uncultured bacterium. RNAcentral's name for it is "partial 16S ribosomal RNA". It matches the Rfam family "Bacterial small subunit ribosomal RNA", at positions 30 to 507 of the family's 1533-position model. The record is from RNAcentral.